This 464-nucleotide ribosomal RNA is filed under the name uncultured bacterium. RNAcentral's name for it is "partial 16S ribosomal RNA". It matches the Rfam family "Bacterial small subunit ribosomal RNA", at positions 339 to 795 of the family's 1533-position model. The record is from RNAcentral.
CUACGGGCUGCUCCAGUAGGGAAUCUUCGGCAAUGGACGGAAGUCUGACCGAGCAACGCCGCGUGAGUGAAGAAGGUUUUCGGAUCGUAAAGCUCUGUUGUAAGAGAAGAACGAGUGUGAGAGUGGAAAGUUCACACUGUGACGGUAUCUUACCAGAAAGGGACGGCUAACUACGUGCCAGCAGCCGCGGUAAUACGUAGGUCCCGAGCGUUGUCCGGAUUUAUUGGGCGUAAAGCGAGCGCAGGCGGUUAGAUAAGUCUGAAGUUAAAGGCUGUGGCUUAACCAUAGUACGCUUUGGAAACUGUUUAACUUGAGUGCAGAAGGGGAGAGUGGAAUUCCAUGUGUAGCGGUGAAAUGCGUAGAUAUAUGGAGGAACACCGGUGGCGAAAGCGGCUCUCUGGUCUGUAACUGACGCUGAGGCUCGAAAGCGUGGGGAGCAAACAGGAUUAGAUACCCCGGUAGUC